GACGAACGCUGGCGGCGUGCUUAACACAUGCAAGUCGAACGGAAAGGCCCUGCUUGCAGGGUACUCGAGUGGCGAACGGGUGAGUAACACGUGGGUGAUCUGCCCUCCACUUCGGGAUAAGACUGGGAAACUGGGUCUAUUACCGGAUAGGAGCCCUCCUUAGUGUGAUGGUUGGAAAGUUUUUUCGGUGUAGGAUGAGCUCGCGGCCUAUCAGCUUGUUGGUGGGGUAAUGGCCUACCAAGGCGGCGACGGGUAGCCGGCCUGAGGGGGUGGACGGCCACAUUGGGACUGAGAAACGGCCCAGGCUCCUACGGGGGGCAGCAGGGGGGAAAAUUGCACAAGUGGCGCAAGCCUGGUGCAGCGACGCCGCGUGGGGGAUGACGGGCUUCGGGUUGUAAACUCCUUUCGCUAGGGACGAAGCUUUUUGUGACGGUACCUAGAUAAGAAGCACCGGCUAACUACGUG
RNAcentral lists this ribosomal RNA (465 nucleotides) under uncultured bacterium. RNAcentral's name for it is "partial 16S ribosomal RNA". It matches the Rfam family "Bacterial small subunit ribosomal RNA", at positions 28 to 507 of the family's 1533-position model. The record is from RNAcentral.